RNAcentral lists this transfer RNA (72 nucleotides) under Planctomycetota bacterium. Its description in RNAcentral is "tRNA-Phe". It matches the Rfam family "tRNA". From Rfam's summary of the family: Transfer RNA (tRNA) molecules are approximately 80 nucleotides in length. Their secondary structure includes four short double-helical elements and three loops (D, anti-codon, and T loops). Lineage: Bacteria; Pseudomonadati; Planctomycetota. The record is from RNAcentral.
GUGGACUUAGCUCAAUCGGUAGAGCACGGGUUUGAAACACCCGCAGCCCUGGUUCGAUUCCAGGAGUCCACA